RNAcentral lists this small nuclear RNA (23 nucleotides) under Arabidopsis thaliana (thale cress). RNAcentral describes it as "snRNA_01187". The record is from RNAcentral. Lineage: Eukaryota; Viridiplantae; Streptophyta; Magnoliopsida; Brassicales; Brassicaceae.
AUCUUUAUGGCGGGAAAGUGCAG